AGAAAACCAAUAGGAAAUGUGAAUUAUUGAUUUAUCACUCCCCAUUUGUUAACAAUGAAGCAAUAUAACCACCUUGUCAUGAUGUCAGUUGUCAUGAUUGUUCCCUGAUAACAAUAACAUGAUAAGGAAUACAAGUGUUUUCAAUUGAAAACAUAACUGAAAGUUUCAAGUAUCUUUCCUUUAUUCCUAUAGUUCUUUAUUUUUAGAAUGUGCAAGUUGCUUGCGCCUUCACAAAUGAUCUUCAU
This 245-nucleotide unclassified non-coding RNA is filed under the name Hevea brasiliensis (rubber tree). The record is from RNAcentral. Lineage: Eukaryota; Viridiplantae; Streptophyta; Magnoliopsida; Malpighiales; Euphorbiaceae.